AGAUGUGAAUAAAAAUUGAGACCGCGAAUGGCUCAUUAAACCAGCUGUAAUUUACUGGAUCCUCCCAAUUUGAAUUGGAUAACUGUGGUAAUUCUAGAGCUAAUACAUGCCAUUGAAUCUCUUGCGAGCAAACCAGCGCGCAGCUACGGCCUUCCGAACCCCGCCGUUGCCUCCGCUUCGGCGGGUAGUACGGGACCGCUACUCGUGUGGAUGGUGCUGGUCAAGGGUGCACUUAUUAGAAGCAAAAACAGGUUCCCUCGGGCUUCGGUCCGUAGAACACUCGUUACGCUGACUCCGGAUAAAUUUACCACUGUUGAGCGCAAGGUGCGAAUCUAGCACCGGCGCCAAUUCUUUCAAGUGUCUGACCUAUCAGGUACAUUGUAAGUCAUGUGCUUACAAUGCCGAUAACGGGUGACGGGGAAUCAGGGUUCGAUUCCGGAGAGGGAGCCUGAGAAACGGCUACCACAUCUAAGGAAGGCAGCAGGCACGCAAAUUACCCACUCCCGGCACGGGGAGGUAGUGACGAAAAAUAACGAUGCGGGACUCUAUUCGGAGACCCGCAAUCGGAAUGAGUACACUUUAAACACUUUAACGAGUACCAAUUGGAGGGCAAGUCUGGUGCCAGCAGCCGCGGCAAUGGCGUAUGUUAAAGUUGUUGUGGUUAGAAAGCUCGUAGCUGGUCCUACGGGGCCGUCGGCGUUGGCGGUGGGGUUGAAAUCCGAUGGUGACCCCGCCUAGCGGUGGGGCCGCCUUUCCCCCUCCGUCGCGCCGGGUCUAAUCACUCCCCGGUGGCGAGUUUAGCCGCCUGGGGGACAAUCUGGCCGGUUCGCCCGUGGUUGCUCUUAAUCGAGUGACCGCGGUCGUCUGGCGUGUUUACUUUGAAAAAAUUAGAGUGCUCAAAGCAGGCUAGUUAAUGGCCUGAAUGAUGAUGCAUGGAAUAAUAAAAUAAGGCAUCGUGUUCAUUUUCAUGACGAGUCCCCCCCCUCUCCGAGGGGUGGGGCUCGGGACCUGUUUUACUACCGGGGCCCCGGCGCGAGCUUAUAUAACGCCGCGCCGCGUGGCCUUCUGAAUCUCGAUACAAUGAUUAGCAGGGACAGAUGAGGGCAUUUGUACUGCGGGGCGAGAGGUGAAAUUCUGUGACCCUCGCAAGACAAACAAAGGCGAAAGCAUUUGCCAAGUAUGUUCCCACUAGUCAAGAACGAAAGUUAGAGGUUCGAAGGCGAUCAGAUACCGCCCUAGUUCUAACCGUAAACUAUGCUAACCAGCAAUCAGCCGGUCGUUAUACCAAUGACCCGGCUGGCAGCUUCCGGGAAACCAAAGUCUUUGAGUUCCAGGGGAAGUAUGGUUGCAAAACUGAAACUUAAAGGAAUUGACGGAAGGGCACCACCAGGAGUGGAGCCUGCGGCUUAAUUUGACUCAACACGGGAAACCUCACCAGGUCCGGACACUAGGAGGAUUGACAGAUUGAAAGCUCUUUCUCGAUUCAGUGGGUGGUGGUGCAUGGCCGUUCUUAGUUGGU
RNAcentral lists this ribosomal RNA (1519 nucleotides) under Phylladiorhynchus nudus. Its description in RNAcentral is "SSU rRNA". It matches the Rfam family "Eukaryotic small subunit ribosomal RNA", at positions 67 to 1302 of the family's 1831-position model. The record is from RNAcentral. Lineage: Eukaryota; Metazoa; Arthropoda; Malacostraca; Decapoda; Galatheidae.